UACAGAGGGUGCAAGCGUUAAUCGGAAUUAUUGGGCGUAAAGCGCAUGUAGGUGGUUUUGUAAGUUUGAUGUGAAAGCCCUGGGCUUAACCUGGGAAUGGCAUUUGGGACUGCAAGGCUGGAGUGCGGCAGAGGAGACUGGAAUUCCUGGUGUAGCAGUGAAAUGCGUAGAUAUCAGGAGGAAUACCGAUGGCGAAGGCAGGUCUCUGGGCUGACACUGACGCUCAUGCACGAAAGCGUGGGGAGCAAACAGG
This 253-nucleotide ribosomal RNA is filed under the name uncultured bacterium. RNAcentral describes it as "partial 16S ribosomal RNA". It matches the Rfam family "Bacterial small subunit ribosomal RNA", at positions 524 to 776 of the family's 1533-position model. The record is from RNAcentral.